Molecule: long non-coding RNA, 416 nt
Organism: Aplysia californica (California sea hare)
Lineage: Eukaryota; Metazoa; Mollusca; Gastropoda; Aplysiida; Aplysiidae
Exons: 2
Source: RefSeq, a predicted model, not a curated record
AUGUCUGUACUGAUCGUCCCGUCUGUUUUGUAGUUGUGCUUCAAUAUAAUUAACGAAAGCAGAAGAAUUAGUUUGAGUACGCAUAUCGGCUCACCAAAGUCGCCGCUGUUUCCGUCACAUGAUUGGAAGCAGUGAGCAAGUUUGCAGUAGACUCUCCUCGCAUCUUCCUCUUUUUGCAGCAGGACCGCACCCACCGCCUCACCACGACCAAAUCCCUGAGCUGUGGAGAGACGGACAAACACCAAUGCAAAAGACUAAAGGGCACUUUAUGAUCAGCUGAACCAAACAUUGGAUGAGAGAUCGGAGAUAAUGCGUCCGCAGCGUCCCCCAAGAGCUACAACAUAUAGUCUGUCAGUUCGCUUUGAUCAAGUUAAUCAGAUUCUAUUAAAAGAAUAUUUUAAACAUCUGUUAAUACA